GACGUAGGGCGCGAGCGUUGUCCGGAUUUAUUGGGCGUAAAGAGCUCGUAGGCGGCUUGUCGCGUCGUCCGUGAAAACCUGCAGCUCAACUGCAGGCUUGCGGUCGAUACGGGCAGGCUAGAGUUCGGUAGGGGAGACUGGAAUUCCUGGUGUAGCGGUAAAAUGCGCAGAUAUCAGGAGGAACACCGGUGGCGAAGGCGGGUCUCUGGGCCGAUACUGACGCUGAGGAGCGAAAGCGUGGGGAGCGAACAGG
Molecule: ribosomal RNA, 253 nt
Filed under: uncultured bacterium
Lineage: Bacteria
Description: partial 16S ribosomal RNA
Rfam family: Bacterial small subunit ribosomal RNA
Source: RNAcentral